Molecule: ribosomal RNA, 447 nt
Filed under: uncultured bacterium
Lineage: Bacteria
Description: bacterial SSU rRNA
Rfam family: Bacterial small subunit ribosomal RNA
Source: RNAcentral
CGCUGGCGGCGUGCCUAAAACAUGCAAGUCGAACGGGGUCUUCGGACCCAGUGGCGAACGGCGGAGUAAUACAUAAGCAACGUGCCCUGAAGACUGGGAUAUACGAUGGAAACGUCGGGCAAUACCAGAUGUGGUUGGGAGGAGUCAUCUUCAUCCAAUUAAACGGAUUUAUUCGCUUCGGGAGCGGCUUGUGGCCUAUCAGCUAGUUGGUGAGGUAAAGGCUCACCAAGGCGACGACGGGUAGGGGGUCUGAGAGGAUGAUCCCCUCGAGUGGGACUGAGACACGGCCCACACACCUACGGGUGGCAGCAGUUGGGAAUCUUGCACAAUGGGGAAACCCUGAUGCAGCGACGCCGCGUGGAGGAUGAAGGAUUUCGGUCUGUAAACUCCUUUUACAGGGAAAGACUUAGGACGGUACCCUGUGAAUAAGCUCCGGCUAACUACGUG